GUGGGGAAUAUUGGACAAUGGGUGCAAGCCUGAUCCAGCCAUGCCGCGUGAGUGAUGAAGGCCCUAGGGUUGUAAAGCUCUUUCACCGGUGAAGAUAAUGACGGUAACCGGAGAAGAAGCCCCGGCUAACUUCGUGCCAGCAGCCGCGGUAAUACGAAGGGGGCUAGCGUUGUUCGGAAUUACUGGGCGUAAAGCGCACGUAGGCGGACAUUUAAGUCAGGGGUGAAAUCCCAGAGCUCAACUCUGGAACUGCCUUUGAUACUGGGUGUCUUGAGUAUGGAAGAGGUAAGUGGAAUUCCGAGUGUAGAGGUGAAAUUCGUAGAUAUUCGGAGGAACACCAGUGGCGAAGGCGGCUUACUGGUCCAUUACUGACGCUGAGGUGCGAAAGCGUGGGGAGCAAACAGGAUUAGAUACCCGUGUAGUCC
Molecule: ribosomal RNA, 425 nt
Filed under: uncultured bacterium
Lineage: Bacteria
Description: partial 16S ribosomal RNA
Rfam family: Bacterial small subunit ribosomal RNA
Source: RNAcentral